GAUGAACGCUGGCGGCGUGCCUAAUACAUGCAAGUCGAGCGAACAGAUAAGGAGCUUGCUCCUUUGACGUUAGCGGCGGACGGGUGAGUAAAACGUGGGUAACCUACCUAUAAGACUGGGAUAACUUCGGGAAACCGGAGCUAAUACCGGAUAAUAUUUCGAACCGCAUGGUUCGAUAGUGAAAGAUGGUUUUGCUAUCACUUAUAGAUGGACCCGCGCCGUAUUAGCUAGUUGGUAAGGUAACGGCUUACCAAGGCGACGAUACGUAGCCGACCUGAGAGGGUGAUCGGCCACACUGGAACUGAGACACGGUCCAGACUCCUACGGGAGGCAGCAGUAGGGAAUCUUCCGCAAUGGGCGAAAGCCUGACGGGGCAACGCCGCGUGAGUGAUGAAGGUCUUCGGAUCGUAAAACUCUGUUAUUAGGGAAGAACAUACGUGUAAGUAACUGUGCACGUCUUGACGGUACCUAAUCAGAAAGCCACGGCUAACUACGUG
Molecule: ribosomal RNA, 497 nt
Filed under: uncultured bacterium
Lineage: Bacteria
Description: partial 16S ribosomal RNA
Rfam family: Bacterial small subunit ribosomal RNA
Source: RNAcentral